UACAGAGGGUGCGAGCGUUUGUCCGGAAUCACUGGGCGUAAAGGGCGCGUAGGCGGUUUUGGUAGGUCCGUUUGUGAAAAACUCGAGGCUCAACCUCGAGACGCCGAUGGAAACCAUCAGACUAGAGUCCGGAAGAGGAGAGUGGAAUUCCUGGUGUAGCGGUGAAAUGCGUAGAUAUCUGGAGGAACACCGGUGGCGAAGGCGACUUUCUGGCUUAUAACUGACGCU
RNAcentral lists this ribosomal RNA (228 nucleotides) under uncultured bacterium. RNAcentral describes it as "partial 16S ribosomal RNA". It matches the Rfam family "Bacterial small subunit ribosomal RNA", at positions 524 to 747 of the family's 1533-position model. The record is from RNAcentral.